This 164-nucleotide ribosomal RNA is filed under the name uncultured bacterium. RNAcentral's name for it is "partial 16S rRNA". It matches the Rfam family "Bacterial small subunit ribosomal RNA", at positions 355 to 511 of the family's 1533-position model. The record is from RNAcentral.
UAGGGAAUCUUCCACAAUGGACGAAAGUCUGAUGGAGCAACGCCGCGUGAGUGAAGAAGGUUUUCGGAUCGUAAAGCUCUGUUGUUGGUGAAGAAGGAUAGAGGCAGUAACUGUUCUUGUAUUGACGGUAUCUAACCAGAAAGCCACGGCUAACUACGUGCCAG